This 83-nucleotide transfer RNA is filed under the name Actinoplanes missouriensis. Its description in RNAcentral is "tRNA-Ser". It matches the Rfam family "tRNA". From Rfam's summary of the family: Transfer RNA (tRNA) molecules are approximately 80 nucleotides in length. Lineage: Bacteria; Bacillati; Actinomycetota; Actinomycetes; Micromonosporales; Micromonosporaceae. RNAcentral also lists the same sequence under 2 other names. The record is from RNAcentral.
GGAAGCGUGGCCGAGUGGCCUAAGGCGCCGCCCUGCUAAGGCGGACCGGGAAACCGGCGGAGGUUCGAAUCCUCCCGCUUCCG